GACGAACGCUGGCGGCGUGCUUAACACAUGCAAGUCGAACGGAAAGGCCCCUUUGGGGGUACUCGAGUGGCGAACGGGUGAGUAACACGUGAGUAACCUGCCCUUGACUUCGGGAUAACUUCAGGAAACUGGGGCUAAUACCGGAUAGGAAUCCUUGCUGCAUGGUGGGGGUUGGAAAGCUUCGGCGGUUUUGGAUGGACUCGCGGCUUAUCAGCUUGUUGGUGGGGUAGUGGCUUACCAAGGCUUUGACGGGUAGCCGGCCUGAGAGGGCGACCGGCCACAUUGGGACUGAGAUACGGCCCAGACUCCUACGGGAGGCAGCAGUGGGGAAUAUUGCACAAUGGGCGGAAGCCUGAUGCAGCAACGCCGCGUGCGGGAUGACGGCCUUCGGGUUGUAAACCGCUUACAGCAGGGGCGAAGCUUGUGGUGACGGUACCUGCAGAAGAAGCACCGGCUAACUACGUG
RNAcentral lists this ribosomal RNA (465 nucleotides) under uncultured bacterium. RNAcentral describes it as "partial 16S ribosomal RNA". It matches the Rfam family "Bacterial small subunit ribosomal RNA", at positions 28 to 507 of the family's 1533-position model. The record is from RNAcentral.